UCCCAGGUGGCUCAAUGGUAAAGAAUCUGCCUGCCAAGCAGAAGACGUGGGUUCGAUCCCUAGGUUGGGAA
Molecule: transfer RNA, 71 nt
Organism: Ovis aries (sheep)
Lineage: Eukaryota; Metazoa; Chordata; Mammalia; Artiodactyla; Bovidae
Rfam family: tRNA
About the family: Transfer RNA (tRNA) molecules are approximately 80 nucleotides in length. Their secondary structure includes four short double-helical elements and three loops (D, anti-codon, and T loops). Further hydrogen bonds mediate the characteristic L-shaped molecular structure. tRNAs have two regions of fundamental functional importance: the anti-codon, which is responsible for specific mRNA codon recognition, and the 3' end, to which the tRNAs corresponding amino acid is attached (by aminoacyl-tRNA synthetases). tRNAs cope with the degeneracy of the genetic code in two manners: having more than one tRNA (with a specific anti-codon) for a particular amino acid; and 'wobble' base-pairing, i.e. permitting non-standard base-pairing at the 3rd anti-codon position.
Source: Rfam